UACGUAGGCAGCAAGCGUUGUUCGGAAUUACUGGGCGUAAAGAGUGUGUAGGCGGUGCUCUAAGUCCGUUGUGAAAUCUCCCGGCUUAACUGGGAGGGUGCGGCGGAAACUGGAAUGCUAGAGGAUGGGAGAGGUAAGCGGAAUUCCUGGUGUAGCGGUGAAAUGCGUAGAUAUCAGGAGGAACACCUGUGGUGUAGACAGCUUACUGGACCAUUUCUGACGCUGAGACACGAAAGCGUGGGUAGCAAACAGG
RNAcentral lists this ribosomal RNA (253 nucleotides) under uncultured bacterium. RNAcentral describes it as "partial 16S ribosomal RNA". It matches the Rfam family "Bacterial small subunit ribosomal RNA", at positions 524 to 776 of the family's 1533-position model. The record is from RNAcentral.